GAGUUUGAUCGUGGCUCAGGAUGAACGCUGGCGGCGUGCCUAAUACAUGCAAGUCGAGCGAACAGACGGGGAGCUUGCUCCCCUGACGUUAGCGGCGGACGGGUGAGUAACACGUGGGUAACCUACCUAUAAGACUGGGAAUAACUCCGGGAAACCGGGGCUAAUGCCGGAUAACAUGUUGGACCGCAUGGUCCUACAGUGAAAGACGGUCUUGCUGUCACUUAUAGGUGGACCCGCGCCGUAUUAGCUAGUUGGUAAGGUAACGGCUUACCAAGGCAACGAUACGUAGCCGACCUGAGAGGGUGAUCGGCACACUGGAACUGAGACACGGUCCAGACUCCUACGGGAGGCAGCAGUAGGGAAUCUUCCGCAAUGGGCGAAA
Molecule: ribosomal RNA, 382 nt
Filed under: uncultured microorganism
Description: bacterial SSU rRNA
Rfam family: Bacterial small subunit ribosomal RNA
Source: RNAcentral